RNAcentral lists this long non-coding RNA (747 nucleotides) under Brassica napus (rape). RNAcentral's name for it is "long non-coding RNA (BNAP_LNC007776)". Lineage: Eukaryota; Viridiplantae; Streptophyta; Magnoliopsida; Brassicales; Brassicaceae. The record is from RNAcentral.
UUGAUAGUGAUUAGCGACCGUAGUGUAUUAAUUUGUUUUGAAGUUGCUUAUUUUCGUAUGUGGAAUGUCUUUUGUGAGUUGUGUUUGUGUAUGUUGUUUUAUGUGAGACAAAAAUAUUUUGUUAUGUAAUUGUAUAUAGGCUUAUUUUGGGUAAGAGGAUUUGUAUUUCCAUGGACGUUGGUCUUUUUGUGAUAAUUGAUUGUUAACAUGUGAGGUUAAAUGUCAAAUGGUUUAUGUUUAUUUAGGAUAAUUGUGUGUGGGAGUUUGAGAUUGUAUUUAAAUGCUCAUCUUAUAUAAUUCUAUAAUGGCUUUAUAAAAAUUGUUGGUGACUGGAAGAUUUUUUUGUGCUUGUCAAAGAAUGUGAAAUUAUCAGCAAUAUCAAAUAAAGUUGUAAUUUAUUGUAUUGGUAUAUGUAGAAUUUGUAAUUCAGCAUUCCUUCACCACGUGUGUAAAAGUUUGUGAGGUAUUUUGGAUAUGUUCUCAUUUCACUCUUACGUUAUUUUCUGUGUUAUUUGGUACAAAUUUGAAAAACUGACAUUUUAUAUUUUCGACCACUUAAUCUUUAAUUUUCAUUUAUCGCUAUGAGCAAUGAAAAUUUUGAGAUUGGCAGGAUUAUCAGAGUUUUAAGAGGGGAAUAUGUGAGUAUUGUAACUGUGUGGUUGGAUAUGCGGUGGAAAAGUUUGAAAAGAAACGUAUAAUUAGAAGUGGUAUCAAAAAAAAAAAAAGAACAGUAGUUGUAGCACCGAU